RNAcentral lists this long non-coding RNA (3489 nucleotides) under Anas platyrhynchos (mallard). RNAcentral's name for it is "lncRNA (ENSAPLG00020008945.1)". The record is from RNAcentral. Lineage: Eukaryota; Metazoa; Chordata; Aves; Anseriformes; Anatidae.
AAAUAUUUUUAAGUGGAAGCCUUACAAGAACAAUUGUAGCAGCUAUUUUGACCCAAUAGCUCCUCCUAUUGUGUUUAAAUAUAGCAUCAGGAUUGGACUCUCUUUUUUCUUUUAUUUAUUUAUUUUUUAAUACCAGAGGGUGGAACUAAAGUUAAACUGUCUCUGUCCUUUUUGUGAUGCUCAGGAGAUUUUUCAAAAUAGGUGCCACUUCGUCAGUUUAUUGGCAUUGAUGAUGGCAUUGAAGAGCAGAUUACAAAGUUUACUGAAAAAAAAUAAAUAAAUCAAUUAAUGUAAAUGGAGCAGAAGGCAACAGUAAUAGAGGGCUUACUUAGUACUUCAGUUUUAGUUUGACAUUUGGCCAGUGAUUUAAUGCAUUAAGAGUUAAAGUGAGUCAUCAAGAGACAAGACUUUACUCCUCUCUCCAGGUAGCUUACUUCUGCAGUCAGUGCUCUGCUGUAGGUAGUCUCAUGUCUACCAAUACAUGCGAUAAGAUGAAGAUGCUCAAAGCGUAACUGUGGAGCAAACUGCUGUCUCAGGUGAGCACUAAUAAAACUUGGGGAAAGGAAGGGCUGUGCUUGCAAAGGGCAGCAUUUGAAAGCCACAACACCUGUGACAACUUGGUGGCUAGGAAUGUGGGGUGAUGGUAUGAACUGUAGCUUUCUAAAUUUAAAUUUCCAAAGUUUCACAGGUUGACCUACCCAGCACCAUUCUGAGAAAAAGAGAAGUCAAAGGAAGCUUUCAGAAACAUGAGUGAAUGUGCUUUCCCUGUCCAUGGAGAUGCCAGGCACCUCAGAACGGGCUACAUCAUGAGGAGUGAACCAGCGAAGCAGCUCCACUUCAACCUGCCCUGCCGCAUAGAGGCGCUUGUGAGAGAGUUAAUGCCUGAGCACCAAUACCCUUGGGCUGCUGCUGCUGCCUGUGUCCUUCCUGCACAUGCCCCGGGCUCCUGCUGCUGCUUGCCCCUGCUGGGGCUUUUCUACCGUGGCCUUCCUUCUCCUGAAGACUUCCCGUGACGUCUCAGGCCUGCUCCGAGUUGCUCCUUGCAUCUCCUCAGCACAUGUGCAGAGCUGAAGCUGACAGGACCACAAAGCCAUUGUUAAAGUCGGUAGGUCUCACUCAGCUGGGAACACAGGUCUAGUUUUAGGCUUUUACUGUUGUGUCAGGGUAACGUAUUCACUGGGCAAAAAUUAGGGUUUGCUUUCUAACGACAUGCUGCUUCUUAUGCUGUUUGCACGUUAGCCUGUGACUAUGUUUUGCAGUACCCAUUACCUCCUAAUUGCUGCCAACCUUAAAUUUAUUUGGCACUAACUUACUGCAUAGACUAGUAGUCAUAUGGAAACCAACAGUGUUACUCCCCCCCCGCAUCAUAGCUCUCCAUAUGAAUGAUAGAGGCAGAGUAAAACCCAAAGGGGUAAGUAAACUAACCUUGUACUACAGGAUUCUGUAAAAUGAUAUUGUGACGAGAAAAAGACACAUAAAUGUACAGCAAAAUAAAUAAGCUCCAGAUUUUCACUGCAUAGUACUUCUGACACACUUCUUUUAAAAAUCUUUGUUUUAUAGAUACUCAGCAAAUAAAAGCACAACACUAAUGAGUCAUAUUUUGCUGACUUAUUAUGUAAUCUUGAAGGCAGUUUGUUUUUAUUUCCACUGGAUAGGAUACUUUUUCACUUAGAUAUUAUGUAACGCUCCUUAUAAAAAUAGAGACCCAGGUCUUGCAAACACCUUGGAGUGUUCCUGUUACAGAAUGAGGCUUAUGACCAUUUCAGUUCUCACACCCUCCUUAUUAUGCUUAUAAUAUCUCAAAACAUUCCCCUUCUGGCUUGAAAAAUUUGCCAUUCUUGAUCUUGAUCUAAAAUACUUCUGUUACUAAGUAAAAAUAAGAACAUUUACAAGAUUAAUUAUAAGUAUACAAAAUAUAAAAUGUUUUUUAUCAGCCAGUAUGCAUUUAAUAGGGUUAUAAAAGACAACACUGGUUAUAAAAGACAACAAAGAAGAAAAAAUACUUGAGAAACAUAGUGUUAACGAAAUAGGUGGUAAGGCCAACAGCACAGAGUCAGCACAUCAAAAACCAUGGCUUCUGGAGCUAUAGUCUACAUUCUGCACGAGCAGGAUGCCCUUUCCUAAGUGCUAGUACUUGCAGAUUGGUGAUUGACACAGGGAAAGAGGUACAUACUCUUACAACAUUUAUAAAAUAUCUGCAGGUAUGGAAUUCUCUGGGUUUUGUUUGUUUUGUCCUAAUAGAGAGGCAUGACAAUUCUGGAAUAAAUAACUAAAGAAUUUUUUAAACAGUAUAUAUGAAACGUGCCCAGCUAUCUGCCAGAUGUCCAAUGUAGUGAAUCCUAAAAAUCAUUUAGAAUUUUCAGCCUCCUAGUUUCAAAUAGCAUAGUCUAAAUGGUAACAAAAAUAAAAGGGUAUACAUUAGAAACUCAUUUAAAAAAAAAAAAAAAAAAAGCAGGAAGACAGCCAAGACAACCAAGAAUGUGUGUGUUCCUUAGAGAAAAAUGGGAGAAAAGUAAGGCAAGAAUAUGAAAGAAAGGUGGAAAACGGAUUUGGGCACUAAAUUUAAAGCAAGUAAACCUACCACUGUUGCCUUAAAAUAAAGGAACACAUCCAAUGAGCUCCAUGCAUUAAAGCACUGCUUUGGCAUGUGAAGAUUUUUUUAUUGAAGAUGUUGAAUGAUAACUACCAACAAAAAUAUUUAAUUUCCUAUAAGUUGCAGACGUCUUAGCCUUUUUAACUGCCAAAAUGCUGAGAGAGACAGUCUCUAAACAGUCAUUUAAUACUUGUGUGUAUGCUUAUUUCCAUCCAACUAGCCAACGUUUCAUCUUUGUGAAUGUACUGCUGUCUGCUUAGACAACCCUUGUGUCGAAGGUUUUCCCCGCAUGGGUUAUACUGAGGCACCAGCACUUUUUUAGGUGCUUUGCACACCACAGCAGGGACACUGAGUACCCAGGGGGACCAGUAUGUCUGGCAUAGCUGGUGGAAAACUUCGCUGUGCCCCUCGCAAGGAAUUGCUCAUUACCCAAGACAGUAAAGGUUUUUCUUUUCCUUUUUAGUUCAGACACACAGCCAGCUUGUGCCCGCUGAAGAAGGUGCGGAUCCUGGUCCAGUACAAGAUGAAAACUUGAAAACCAGCAUGGGACUCCCCAAUACUGCACUGAUGUAUUUACUACCCAGAAGGUAUGUGGCACUAAAUAAUGAGGAUAUGUAAUUGCUAUUUUGAAAUCUAUUCCCGGGAAGCUCAUCUGCCUGAAGCUUACUGCUCACAAGAUUUGCCUGGCUCUCAAAUCACCUGCACCAUCAGCUCAGAGGGUACAGGCAAGGCCGCUCCGUCUGUAACAGUGGGGACUUUUUAUGCCACAGCAUAGGCAGUGCUUGGCCCAGCACCAAUCUUGCUAAGGAGAAUCUUUCAUAUUUGGUGAUAUUUACAGUAGUUUAGAUCUGGCAUAGAGAGCCCAGGGUGUUGACGUGUAUUUUUGUUUGUUUGUU